CAGAAACUUCUUUGGCCAGACCUAGAUAUUAGUUCAAGCAAGGGAAAAAUGGAUGAACUACCGGAUUGUAAUGAUAUUGUGAUCAACAGUUGUUGUUCUAGUGAUGAUCAGACAUUAAUAGCUUGUGGAACAGAUAAUAAUCUUGUGUGUAUAUGGAGGAAGAAUCCUGUAUCAUUUCUAUAGUGUUACAAUAUGGCUACCAUUUGAGGGGGAGACCUUGAAUCAGGGAGAUAACUCUUUAAAUCAUUCAUGUGCUUCUUAAAAGUCAAGUUUCAUCAAUGUAUUUUAAGAUUUUAGCUAUAACAGAUUGGAAAUAAAUUUACCUAGAAGCUUAGAAUAUAUUAAUGAAAAUGGUUGACACAAACAUUCUGAUGAUUUUAUGAGUUAUUUCCCUCAAUUUAGGUCUAACUCCUUAAUAUAGAUGCAUCUUAUAAGCAUCAGAUCUUACAAAGGAAAAUGUUGAAGCUGAUUGAAAAAAUACGAAAGAUAAUUCAAGGAUUUAAGAUUUCCUCAAAUUUGACGAAUUGUUGACAAAAAUGUCUGUUAAAAAACAACAGUAUUUUCAUUAUGAUGAUAAAAAGGUAGAAAACAAUUUAACUGCCCGAUUUUUAAAAGAUGCUCAUAGGUUACGCUUAUGUCAUAUUUUUGUUUUUUUGCAAUAAUUUUACUGAGAUGAAAUAUUGUUUUAUUUAAUCAUUCCUACUUGGGUGUUUUUUUGCAUAUUUUUAUUUAAAUUAUAAGUCUAUCUUUGUAUUCGUUACUACUUCAGAAGUUCAGAAGUUAUUGAGGAAAUUUAAUGGAGCUUUCUCUUUUAACUGUUUUAAAACCAGUUUAAUGUCUGUUGCAGUAGCUCACAGUUUAACUUGUAUAUUUUUGUUAUAGAUAUUCAUGAAAUAUUGAAAUUUAUCGGUGAACUUUAAUAAUUUGUCAAGUAAUUUAAACCAUAAUGAAAAUAUGGACAUUGUAAAUAGGAAUGUGAUAGUAUGAAUGUAUAAGCUGAAAGUGAAGAUAGAAUAUUGUUAGUAUAUGAGUUUUUAGAGGAGAUAUCAUAGUUUUAGUAUGUCAUUUAGUUUUAGCAUUUGUUAGUGAUAAACUGUUAUUGAGAAAAGUUUUUUUUUGUUAUACAAUAGAUAUUUUUACUACAUUA
Molecule: long non-coding RNA, 1147 nt
Organism: Mytilus trossulus (common blue mussel)
Lineage: Eukaryota; Metazoa; Mollusca; Bivalvia; Mytilida; Mytilidae
Exons: 2
Source: RefSeq, a predicted model, not a curated record